GUGACAUUUUUUGCCUUUAUUUUCUUGCCUCUAAGGUGUGAGUGGUGGUGACUGCCCUAUGGAAUUAGGUUACAGUGUUGUAGUGAAGAUAAAAUGAAGGAUGAAGACAAACAUAAUUUGGAUAGUUAAAUUGUAUUGAAAUGCAAGCUAUUUAUCCUUGAGAAAAUUCUCAGACAUUCUCAAUUUCUAUGAUGCAGGUGACAAAAUCGUCCGAGGAAGCAUCUUCCCUUCCCAAUGGUGAUGUGGCAGGAGAAGCACAGAGCAACACAGAGGGAACAGAGAAGGCUGAAGAAAGUGGACAACACGAGGCACAAAAAGAAGGCAGUGAAGAUGCGGGCAACCUCACCGGAUCCCCAGAGAAGAAUGUGAGUGUUUGCUGUUUUCACUGUAGUUUCACUGGAUUCAGUUCUGUUCAACAAGCAUUUAUUUAGCUCUGCCAGGUGCCAGGAAUCUUUCUGGGCACACGAGAGUGGGCGUGAAAGUAAGGAACUGAGGGUUUAGCCAGGAGGCAGCAGGUAAUUUUCACUUAAUGUGUUAACUGCUGUGUUCAAGGUGAGUAGAGGGCUGAAAGGAAGCCAGAGGAAGGACCCUGAACCCAGGCCUGGAGUGACAGGCUACGCAAGACUUUAAUGAUUUGUCAUUGUGUUGUUACGGUUAGGUUGGGUUCAUGUUAUUUCUAAAGCAAGGGACCUUAUGCCUCGGUCAUGCGUAGUGAUGGACUCCUAUCACACUUGUCGACUUAAAAAAAAUGUACAACGUGAACGUUGUGAGUUAAGUUUUGUUUGGGGCAGAAUGUGGACUAUAGCCCGGGAGAUAGCAUCUCAGAUAGCUCUGAGAAACUGCUCCUAAGAGGUAGCGGGAAACGUCAGUACAUAUGUGAUUUUGAUAAAGGGAGUCCAUGCAAUCAAGAGCAUAUUUUUUGCAGAAGGUUCUGCUCGUCUCGGGAAGGUUACUUCUAGUCACGAGGAGCAGACGUCACCAUGAAGGAUUUUAGCGCUCUUCUAGAUACGAGGAGAUGCAAGAAUUGGGCUCAUAAAAUCUUCUCCUGAAAGCAUCUAACUAUCUGAAGACCUGUUCUGCCAGUUUUUCCCAGAUCACAGAGGGCCUCAUUCCUGAUCUCCACCCUGAACUCCUUUCAAGGGGUGUUGAAGGUCAGCAACUGCAACAGCUCAUGAUUUAAUCCUUGUAGAGGCAGAUGGCAAGUGCCAGUUUGUAGUUGGCAUACUCCACCAAGAGGAUUUGUGGGAAGGCAAUGGGAGCUGAGGAUAAUAGGGUCCCUGGGGGAGGGAAACUGACACCAAUUCAAAGCCAAUCAGGGGACUCUCAGGGCCCCGCUGACGCAAGGCCCGUGAGCUAAUUCUAAAGCGUUCCAAUGCAGGGGCCGCAGGGUAAAGGGCCGAGGGGAGACUGUGGCUCUGGAAGCACCAAGCUAAGAUAAUGGUGGAUCAGAUGGG
This 1454-nucleotide long non-coding RNA is filed under the name Delphinapterus leucas (beluga whale). RNAcentral's name for it is "lncRNA (ENSDLEG00000017097.1)". The record is from RNAcentral. Lineage: Eukaryota; Metazoa; Chordata; Mammalia; Artiodactyla; Monodontidae.